CGAGUACCUUCGUUCUCAGGCCGAGGCCCUACUGCUGUCUUAUUGGUAUCCAGAAGAUGGGAGCGAGGUCUCCUCAGCACAUCAUGAACCUAAGCCUGUUCUCUGCCUUGAUUCUUCCUCUGCAUCUCUGGACUGUCAAUUCGUCCCUGCUCUUGACUAACCUGCACAGGGCAUGCACUUCUCAACAAAAGCCAAGCUAUGAAUGGCAGCAGAAAGACGUCCAUACUCUGUGUGCAUGUCCUCUACUGCUCCACUAACAAUGACGCUGAAAAACAAAAGAUAGAAAUUUAAAAAAGAGGAAAAAUGAAGACGGUGAUUUGUAAAUAUUGACCUAACAGAGGACAUUUUGGAAAGGAUUGAAGGAACUCCCUGUACUUUCAUACCCUCAAAGUGGCAGGAGCACACAAGUCAUCUCAGUAGCCCGCAUCUUGAGAGACUGGACUGCUCAGAGCUAACAUUCAAGACAGAAAACAGCGAUAAGUAGUAGAACAACAAAAAUGAUCAGAUGACUGAAGCUAUUCUUAAAAUAAUAUGAAAGAUCUUGUUUUGUACAGAUAUUCAUGGGAUAAGGUCUCUUCCUUUGCACUGUGGGAAUCCCUGAACACUGCAUCUGAAAGCUGAAUAAGAAACAGAGAGGUAAAGGAUGAACAGACAGACGCAGACACAGAUGCCACGCGGGAGUCUGAGAAUGGCCUCCCUCUCGGGAGUGGAGUCACAGCAGCCCUAAGGAUCCCCUCCUUUGGGUUUUGUCUCCUUCCGUGAACUCUGAGGCAGAGGCUGAGACUCCUGAGCCUGGGGAGCCCUGAGUCCUUCGAAACCUAACACUUUCCCGUGAAUGUGCAGAGCGCACAGACCGGCGCAACAGUAAAUAUCUCGUGUGGUACACAUGCUUCACUCCUGUUUACCUUGAAUAAGUGCCCGCUACCAGUACAC
Heterocephalus glaber (naked mole-rat) is the source of this 933-nucleotide long non-coding RNA. Lineage: Eukaryota; Metazoa; Chordata; Mammalia; Rodentia; Bathyergidae. The record is from Ensembl.